This 356-nucleotide unclassified non-coding RNA is filed under the name Hevea brasiliensis (rubber tree). The record is from RNAcentral. Lineage: Eukaryota; Viridiplantae; Streptophyta; Magnoliopsida; Malpighiales; Euphorbiaceae.
UAUCCUAUCGGGUAGAGCUGCCCCCACAAUUGAAGAUACAUCCGGUCUUCCACGUAAGUUUCUUGAAGCCUUACUACGCAGACAAGGAGGACCCGGACCGAGGAAAAUCUCAGCGAGCCCCUCCCACGGUUGUAACCUCAUUUGAUCGGGAAAUUGGGGAAAUUUUGGCCGAACGAGUGGUGCGCCAGCGAGGAGUCCCCAACCACACGGAAUUUCUGAUCAAAUGGAAGGGGUUGCCCGACACUGAGGCAAGUUGGGAAAAGGAAGCUGAUUUGUGGCAAUUCAAGGACGCAAUCGAGGUUCACAGGAAAGGAAAGCUUGACGAGGGCGUCAAGGACUCUGGUGGGGGAGGUUGU